This 253-nucleotide ribosomal RNA is filed under the name uncultured bacterium. RNAcentral describes it as "partial 16S ribosomal RNA". It matches the Rfam family "Bacterial small subunit ribosomal RNA", at positions 524 to 776 of the family's 1533-position model. The record is from RNAcentral.
GACAGAGGAGCCAAGCGUUGUCCGGAUUGACUGGGCGUAAAGCGCACGCAGGCGGUCGCGCGCGUGGGGUGUGAAAUCUGGCCGCUUAACGGCCAGGCGCCAUCCCAUACGGCGCGACUGGAGUGAUGCAGAGGUCGAUGGAAUUGCCGGUGUAGUGGUGAAAUGCGUAGAGAUCGGCAGGAACACCCAGGGGGAAACCAGUCGACCGGGCAUCUACUGACGCUGAGGUGCGAGAGCGUGGGGAGCGAACCGG